CUCCUGCAUGACCACGGCUGCCACAUCAGCGCUCCAAGCUGGGUCACAAGCCUGCUCGAUGCGUUCCAGAACCACACUGUCCCACUGUUUCUUGGCCAGGGUGAACUGGCGGUUGGGCUCCAGUUCGAUGGUGUGUGGCGAUGGGAAUGCCUCUUUCUUGAGACUGAAGACAGUGGGAAGCAGAGAAGUCCUGAACACAUAUUCUCACUGCGUUUUGUGUGAGGAUCUUAAAGCAGAGCUCUCCAGCCUUAAUUGAAGAGGCAAGAAGAAAAAAAAAGCCACGGUUGUUACCGUCCAACAACCCGAGUCUGCUCUUUCUGGACACCGCUGGCGAAGAACUGGGCUGGAAAACAAGAGGACAGUGGCUCCCACCGUCCGGUUUCACUCUCACUUUUGGCGCCCUGGGUCUGUUUGAAACUCAAUCUCUCCUACUUGACAACCGAGGGAACCGAAGUCGGCCGCUUAUACUACAGCUGGGAAAGUGGUGCCAGGUGGACUCAAGGAAACCAACCCCUGUGAUAAGUGUGUUCGGUCUUGUACACUCAUCUAAGUCUGACUCUUUCCUGUGCAUCAGGAAAUGGUAUAAAUUGGGCCCACAGGACAACACAGGGGGUCUGAAGGUACCCGCUACCAAACCUGAGUUGGAUGCCCAGCUAGAAGGCAGAAAUGACUGUGGCAAGCUGUCCUCUCCCCUCCACACCUCCUAUGUGGCACACUCGAACCCCUACACAUGUACGCACAGAAUAAAUAGAUGUAAAGAAGGUUUCAAUAAAACCAGGAACUGGUAGGACUUAGGUGGCCUUUUUUAGCUGGAGUCCGACCGUGUUAGUCUCUACACAUUUCUUUUUGUUUUGUUUUCCCUUUGUAUCACAAACAGAUUGUUCCUCUUCUCACACUGACAGUCUUCAUGAAGUUCUAGCAGGAAUAUACUAGCUGGUGGAUUUGUAGAGUUGUGUGAACGAGGCACUCGGGUAAAUCUCUAAGAAGGCCCAGCUUGAAGCUAGAUGUCAGAAUCCCACAAAAGGAAGUGUAAGAAUGAAUCUGAACAGGAUCACAUUGGAAAUAACCAUCCUGGGAGAGUUCUCUGAAGGAAAGCAGGGUGCGUGUGAUUCCUUAUUGUAGCUUAUUUCCUAGCUGUACUAGGGAAUGAAAUGGUGCCUGGUACCUCAUUGUUUUACCGAGUUGGGAUAGUUCCUAUUAAAAUAAUAUGUCAGGAAUGAUUUGUAUGACGGCAACAAGGAUUCCGGGCUCUUGAAAGAUGGAUAUCAUACUUGACUACUUCAUGCUGCUGAACACUUCAUCUUCUUCUUGUUGUUCUCUUAGGUUUGGCGGGGGAGGGGGACAUUGUUUGUGGUUUUGUUUCCCUUUCUGGCAAGACUUAACUUCGCUAAAGCACCCCUGGGAGUCCAUCCCAACAUUUCUUCUCUGUGUCUAUUGUCUCCUCCAGACCACAAGCCCCUGAAGGGCACAGACCACCUUUUAUAUUCCCCAACACAAUCCAUGGACACUAACAUGGCCUACAUGAAAGACUGAACAGCGAUUCUCCCCUAAUUGAGAGUUUUUAACCUAACUGACACUGAACUCUUAAACGUAAGAAAGUGCUUUGCAUUUUAUGCUGUUACUAAAAACAUACAUAAGAUUACACUUAAGGCAAACAUCUAUAAACCUCUUUCAGUUUUAAAGGUAUCAGUACUUACAUAGGAAAAAAGUGA
This is a non-coding RNA of Peromyscus maniculatus bairdii (prairie deer mouse), 1712 nucleotides long. The record is from RefSeq and is a predicted model, not a curated record. NCBI's taxonomy places the organism in Eukaryota, Metazoa, Chordata, Mammalia, Rodentia, Cricetidae.